This 373-nucleotide long non-coding RNA is filed under the name Capsella rubella. RNAcentral describes it as "long non-coding RNA (CRUB_LNC001414)". Lineage: Eukaryota; Viridiplantae; Streptophyta; Magnoliopsida; Brassicales; Brassicaceae. The record is from RNAcentral.
GAAAACACAAACUCUCGGAGAUAUUUUGUGAUGUUGUUUAAGCCGUGACCAUUGUCACCAAACUAGUAAACCCGAUAGUACAAGAUAUUCAAACUCAUCUUCUUCUUCUCAUUUUUUUUUUUUUAAUAGAUUGUUGAUAACCGAAAAAGUAGUUGGAAGGUUAGUUCAGUAAAAUUAAAAGAGAGGGGGGGAACUGAAGGAAGGGGGAAGGGAAGGGAGAGCAGAGCAAACAUGUUAAGUGCAUGGGAAGGACACGAGAAUGGUACGUGAAAUAUGAAAAUCGAAAGACAACAUCAUUUAAUUCCUUUGUUGGUCCUUCCUUUUAAUGUAAUUUCUGUAUUAAAUGUGGUGUCUCUGCCACUUUUCAUGAGAC